Molecule: ribosomal RNA, 253 nt
Filed under: uncultured bacterium
Lineage: Bacteria
Description: partial 16S ribosomal RNA
Rfam family: Bacterial small subunit ribosomal RNA
Source: RNAcentral
UACAGAGGUCUCAAGCGUUGUUCGGAUUCAUUGGGCUUAAAGGGUGCGUAGGCGGCGCGGUAAGUCGGGUGUGAAAUCUCGGAGCUUAACUCCGAAACUGCAUUCGAUACUGCCGUGCUUGAGGACUGGAGAGGAGACUGGAAUUUACGGUGUAGCGGUGAAAUGCGUAGAUAUCGUAAGGAAGACCAGUGGCGAAGGCGGGUCUCUGGACAGUUCCUGACGCUGAGGCACGAAGGUCAGGGGAGCAAACGGG